This 306-nucleotide long non-coding RNA is filed under the name Gallus gallus (chicken). RNAcentral's name for it is "long non-coding RNA NONGGAT011897". The record is from RNAcentral. Lineage: Eukaryota; Metazoa; Chordata; Aves; Galliformes; Phasianidae.
CAGGAGCCAGAGAAAGCUGGGAGUAUGAUUCAGGAGCAAGAGAUCUUCAGAGUCCAGACCUCCAGAGUCAUUUUACACUACAAAAGAUAUUGGAGAAUGGUGGAAGCACUGUGACUAAACAAGCUGCUCUGCAGAAGCUUCUAGCUCAGGCCUCAAAUUAUAGCAACUCUUUUGGAGGAAAUUACUUGGAACUUGCCAACACUGGGAGUUCUAGCUGCAAGCAAACCUCAGGAGAUUGUCUAGUUCAGCUUCCUGCUCAAGAGUUAAUGUCUAAUGGAAGUGAUUGCUGGCAACUGAGGAAAAUCA